AGCUUUAUAGUCAAAUAUAUGAUAUUAGAUUGCAAAUCUAAAGGUGUUUAAACUAAAGCUU
Molecule: transfer RNA, 61 nt
Filed under: Leptocorisa acuta (rice earhead bug)
Lineage: Eukaryota; Metazoa; Arthropoda; Insecta; Hemiptera; Alydidae
Also listed under: 1 other name
Description: tRNA-Cys
Rfam family: tRNA
About the family: Transfer RNA (tRNA) molecules are approximately 80 nucleotides in length. Their secondary structure includes four short double-helical elements and three loops (D, anti-codon, and T loops).
Source: RNAcentral